GGGCCCGCACAAGCGGAGGAACAUGUGGUUUAAUUCGAUGAUACGCGAGGAACCUUACCCGGGCUCGAACGGCAUAUGAAUAUGUAUGAAAGUAUGUAGCUAGCAAUAGCAUAUGUCGAGGUGCUGCAUGGUUGUCGUCAGCUCGUGCCGUGAGGUGUCGGCUUAAGUGCCAUAACGAGCGCAACCCUUAUCUUUAGUUACCAUCAGUUUUAGCUGGGGACUCUAGAGAGACUGCCACCGUAAGGUGUGAGGAAGGUGGGGAUGACGUCAAAUCAGCACGGCCCUUACGUCCGGGGCUACACACGUGUUACAAUGGGUGGGACAAAGGGUUGCUACUUAGUAAUAAGAUGCUAAUCUCUAAACCCAUCCCAGUUCGGAUUGGAGUCUGCAACCCGACUCUAUGAAGCUGGAUUCGCUAGUAAUCGCGCAUCAGCCAUGGCG
Molecule: ribosomal RNA, 441 nt
Filed under: uncultured Bacteroidota bacterium
Lineage: Bacteria; Pseudomonadati; Bacteroidota
Description: bacterial SSU rRNA
Rfam family: Bacterial small subunit ribosomal RNA
Source: RNAcentral